Molecule: ribosomal RNA, 468 nt
Filed under: uncultured bacterium
Lineage: Bacteria
Description: partial 16S ribosomal RNA
Rfam family: Bacterial small subunit ribosomal RNA
Source: RNAcentral
GACGAACGCUGGCGGUGGGCUUAACAUAUGCAAGUCGAACGGAAAGGGGCUGCUUCUGUGGGGUUCUCGAGUGGCGAACGGGUGAGUAAGACGUGAGUAAGCUGCCCUUGACUGUGGGAGGACUUCAGGAAACUAGGGUAAAUACUGGAGAGGAGCGCCGGCAGCACGGAGGGGGGGGGAUAGUUGCGGCGGUUGGGGAUGGACGCGCGGCUUAUCAGCUCGUUGGUGGGGUAGUGGCUUACCAAGGCUUGGACGGGUAGCCGGCCUGGGAGCGUGACCGGCCACAUUGGGCCUGCGGGACGGAGCAGACUCCUACGGGGCGCAGCGGUGGGGAAUCUUGCGCAGUGGGCCGGCGCCUGAUGAAGCAGCGCCGCGGUCGUAAUGUAGGCCUUCGGGUGGGAAACCGCGUUCGCCUAAGACGAAGACUGAGUGACGUUAAUCGGUGAAGAAGCACCGGCUAACUACGUG